GGAUGUGAGGGCAGUCUGGCUGUGACAUCUGUCACCCCAUUGAUCACCAGGAUUGAUUUGGCUAACUUUGCUACCAAGUGGUUGCCUCCUUCCUCCCUCACUGAUCCAUGUGCAUCCAUCUUGGUUGAAGGGAAUGUUCUUCCCCAAGAGAGGAAGAAGGUUCUUUGGUCAAGGCCAUAUGAGUUGCUGCACUCCACUGCUAAGAUCUCUGAACACAAUCCUGUGUCCAGGGCUCCUAAAGAAACAGGUGUUGUUCUGGCUGUAUUCUCAACCAUGUAAAUUUUUUUUAU
RNAcentral lists this small nuclear RNA (290 nucleotides) under Jaculus jaculus (lesser Egyptian jerboa). RNAcentral describes it as "7SK RNA (ENSJJAG00000005411.1)". It matches the Rfam family "7SK RNA". Rfam says of the family: 7SK was discovered as an abundant small nuclear RNA in the mid-70s but a possible function has only recently been suggested. Two independent studies have found that 7SK RNA binds the CDK9/cyclin T complex (known as elongation factor P-TEFb). Lineage: Eukaryota; Metazoa; Chordata; Mammalia; Rodentia; Dipodidae. The record is from Rfam by way of RNAcentral.